UGAGUCAGCCGGGCAAUUGCUGCUUUUAGCUCUUCGUUUACCGCUUAUUGGUAGUUGAGGAAAUUAGCAGAGGAAAGUCCGGGCUCCAUAGAGCAGGGUGCCAGGUAACGCCUGGGAGGCGCAAGCCUACGGCUAGUGCAGCAGAAAUUAUACCGCCGGGCUACUCAAUUUCUUGAAGUUGAAUGGUCAGGUAAGGGUGAAAUGGUGCGGUAAGAGCGCACCGCGCGACUGGUAACAGUUCGUGGCAAGGUAAACCCCACCCGGAGCAAGGCCAAAUAGGAAUCCUUUUAAUGCUGCUCGCAUUGGAUUCGGGUAGGCCGCUAAAGACCUGUGGCGACACAGGUUGUAGAUGAAUAAUUGUCCUCGACAGAACCCGGCUUAUAGGCUGGCUCACUUU
Molecule: RNase P RNA, 397 nt
Filed under: SAR86 cluster bacterium
Lineage: Bacteria; Pseudomonadati; Pseudomonadota; Gammaproteobacteria
Description: RNase P RNA component class A
Rfam family: Bacterial RNase P class A
About the family: Ribonuclease P (RNase P) is a ubiquitous endoribonuclease, found in archaea, bacteria and eukarya as well as chloroplasts and mitochondria. Its best characterised activity is the generation of mature 5'-ends of tRNAs by cleaving the 5'-leader elements of precursor-tRNAs. Cellular RNase Ps are ribonucleoproteins.
Source: RNAcentral